RNAcentral lists this transfer RNA (67 nucleotides) under Lusepiola birostrata. Its description in RNAcentral is "tRNA-Trp". The record is from RNAcentral. Lineage: Eukaryota; Metazoa; Mollusca; Cephalopoda; Sepiida; Sepiolidae.
AAGAUUUUAAGUUAAAGUAAACUGAAGACUUUCAAGGUCUUUUAUAAAUUAUAUAGUUUAAAUCUUG